GAUGAACGCUGGCGGUGUGCCUAAUACAUGCAAGUCGAGCGAACAGACGAGGAGCUUGCUCCUUCGACAUUAGCGGCGGACGGGAGAGUAACAUGUAGGCAACCUACCUAUAAGACUGGGAUAACUUCGGGAAACCGGCGCUAACACCGGACAAUAUUUCGAACCGCACGGUUCGAUAGUGAAAGAUGGCUUUGCUAUCACUUAUAGAUGGACCUGCGCCGUAUUAGUUAGUUGGUAAGGUAACGGCUUACUAAGGCAACGAUACGUAGCUGACCGGAGAUGGUGAUCAGCCGCACUGGAACUGAGACACGGUCCAGACUCCUACGGGAGGCACCAGUAGGGAAUCUUCCGCAAUGGGCGAAAGCCUGACGGAGCAACGCCGCGUGAGUGAUGAGGGUCUUCGGAUCGUAGAACUCUGUUAUUAGGGAAGAACAAACGUGUAAGUAACUGUGCACGUCUUGACGAUACCUAAUCAGAAAGCCACGGCUAACUACGUG
This 497-nucleotide ribosomal RNA is filed under the name uncultured bacterium. Its description in RNAcentral is "partial 16S ribosomal RNA". It matches the Rfam family "Bacterial small subunit ribosomal RNA", at positions 28 to 507 of the family's 1533-position model. The record is from RNAcentral.